Molecule: transfer-messenger RNA, 398 nt
Filed under: bacterium
Lineage: Bacteria
Rfam family: transfer-messenger RNA
About the family: Bacterial tmRNA, also known as 10Sa RNA or SsrA, is named for its dual tRNA and mRNA-like properties. Its role is to liberate the mRNA from a stalled ribosome. To accomplish this part of the tmRNA is used as a reading frame that ends in a translation stop signal.
Source: RNAcentral
GGGGGUGAUUGGCUUCGACAAGGAAAUCGGUGUGUGCGUGCGCGUUGCGAGAGCGAGUGACUCUCUCAAACCACUCAAACAUUCAAGUGCGAACAAAGUAGCACGUGCAGUUUUGUCACCUAUUCAGAUGGCAGAUCUGCAGUUCGCUUACGCGCGAGCCUAAGCGACCGUCCAUGGAGCUGAUGCUUGAUUAAGCUUCACUGGGCGUCAUUCUUUCAAGCACUGAUGAAAUGCGCUCUCGUUUCAUCUAAGACUUAGAGCUCGGAAAUGUAUGGUUCUGUUCAUCUCAUACAUGCAUUUCUUAAAUCGGGCUUCGCCCGAAGAGAUGUUCUACGCAUCGUAGACACACUCACAACAUCUUUCUUUGCACCGGGGUUCGAUUCCCCGCGCCUCCACCA